This 1150-nucleotide long non-coding RNA is filed under the name Salvator merianae (Argentine black and white tegu). Its description in RNAcentral is "lncRNA (ENSSMRG00000006911.1)". The record is from RNAcentral. Lineage: Eukaryota; Metazoa; Chordata; Lepidosauria; Squamata; Teiidae.
GGAGGCCCCGUCUGAACGAAUUAGAAAGGGGGCAGAGACCCUGCGAUGCAGGUAGAGUUCGUUUUCCUCUGUGUCCAAGGGCAACGCCUGGCAAAAGGACCCUGUCGGAACCCUUCUGGUUGGGGUGCAGAUUGGUUCGAACUGAAUGGGAGCGUUCGAAAAGGUCGAGCUUGAACCAGGCGCCCUCGCUGUUCCAAAACAGAGCCCGGAUUCGAACUGAACCCGGAUUCUAACAAACCUGGCGAACGGACCCUGUUUGAUGAGAGUUCAAAUGUUUCCAGAUCAAACCAAACACAUUACUAUGUGAAGAAAAACAUCUGAAAUCGAACCGAACACAUACAAAAAUGUUCAGUUGCUGCUGCUCUAGAAUACCCCACCUGCCUCUUUUCAAGCUGGGCCUUACCGCCACCUUGAUUUUCUCAGUCCCCUUCUUAACCUCAAGGGCUUUUGUUGGGGGGGGGGAGAAUAGUUGCUUGCAGCUGGUUCCCUGGAAGCUGCCCUAGAGGCAGCGGGAUGGCUUGUUCCCAAACAACAAAACCCCUGGCUUUGGAACUGGACUCUCCUCCAGCAAAUAACUAAAAAUAAUCAGAAACCCGAGUAGCGUGUGAAAAACCCUCCAGCGACAGGACUUCCUCUUGCCCCUCCCUCCUCCAUCCAUCUUCCCACCCCCCCAUUUCCCACCCAGACCCAGCAAGGAGGAGGCUUCCCUUUGCCNUGCUGCAGCCUGAUCCCCACGUUUCCUGGCUGAAAGCUGCUCGCCUCUUCCACACCUGCGCUCUGCAAUCAGUUCACAUCGGCUCCUAAAUCUAACCGAAUCCAAAAAUAUUAAAACCAGGGCCCAUCUGUUGUCCAACUGAUGGGAGCAGAUGUGCUGAGGAUUUCAGAGGCUGGCUGGCAACCAUUCAAAACUGUCAGAACUUGCACCUGCUGCACCAUUACAGUUCCCCUUUUUUUGAUUUAAUCCCUCGUUUUCUCCCCCCUCCUUUUUGCAGAGGAGNGGGGGAGGAAUCCUCACCCACCCCACCCCCACGCCCCACCCCAGUUAGCUUUAGGAGAUGAGCAUGGCGUAAACAGAUCUUGUAAUUCCCCCUCGGACAUGCUGGUUCUGUGAACAGCUCUCUGCAUCAGCAUGGAGACACAGAUAGGAAAA